Molecule: ribosomal RNA, 313 nt
Filed under: Staphylococcus aureus
Lineage: Bacteria; Bacillati; Bacillota; Bacilli; Caryophanales; Staphylococcaceae
Description: partial 23S ribosomal RNA
Rfam family: Bacterial large subunit ribosomal RNA
Source: RNAcentral
UUCGAGUCGUUGAUUUCACACUGCCGAGAAAAGCCUCUAGAUAGAAAAUAGGUGCCCGUACCGCAAACCGACACAGGUAGUCAAGAUGAGAAUUCUAAGGUGAGCGAGCGAACUCUCGUUAAGGAACUCGGCAAAAUGACCCCGUAACUUCGGGAGAAGGGGUGCUCUUUAGGGUUAACGCCCAGAAGAGCCGCAGUGAAUAGGCCCAAGCGACUGUUUAUCAAAAACACAGGUCUCUGCUAAACCGUAAGGUGAUGUAUAGGGGCUGACGCCUGCCCGGUGCUGGAAGGUUAAGAGGAGUGGUUAGCUUCUG